UAACCUAACAUUUGAUCCAUCAUAUUUCGAUGGGUUGGAUGAAUUUGCCUCUGGAAUUGUUGGAAUUAAUUUUUCAAAGGCUGUGUUUAAAUGAUGUCAUGAAUUGUCGUACCACAUGCCGCUUUUGGUGAAAGGCCGCUGAUGUCAUAUUUUCAUCUCAGCUUCCAUUGAUGCUCUCUCUUUCAACAACGUGCUGUUGAAGCUUUGGAAGCUUAUCUGCCCCAUGGAGCAACCAUGAUUCCACUGUGCUCACUGAUAAAUGGCCGCAAGAAAUCGUCCGUAGUUAUAAUAGGGUUUACUCGGUGCAAGGUUGGUUGGUAUUCAAUAUAUUUCAUUAUGAGUGGGUCAAGAGCCAAACUUUCUCUGAGCUUUUAUUCUUGAACCCAUUUUCUCGAACUAGAUUCAAGCUUCCAAAACUGUUCUUGUUUUCUGGAGGGCCGUAUUAUUAUCAAGUUCGUGUUGCAUUCAAUUCUACACCAACGGGGUCUGAGGAGUUUGUUGUUGCUUUCUUGGUUGUGUUUUGCCAUCAAGAAAAAGUGUACAACUUAAUCGGACCAGAAGAUACGAAGCAAAGGCUAGCUUUUAUCAAAUUCAAGCAAGGAUCAUGGAUUGAAUCCAUUGAAAUCGAUGAAAUCUUUUAUGAUAUUCAAAUUCAAGCAAAGGCUAGCUUUUACGAACGCAUCAUCUGAGCCAAUUUAAUCUUACAGGUCGGCAUCUUAGCACCAUACCUUUGGACCCAAAUAUUGGAAAGAUUCUUCUCAUGGGCUCUAUCUUUCAAUGCCUUAACCCUGCCUUAACAAUUGCUGCAGCUCUUGCAUAUUCCAACCCAUUUGUCUUGCCUAUUAACAGAAAAGAGGAAGCUGAUGAUGCAAAACGAUCUUUUGCUGGUGAUUCUUGCAAGUUAGACAAAUAGUUACUGAGAAAUGUUCCCUUCGGAUAUUGUUCAAGCGAAUUUACUGCAUUGAUCAUGGUUGUGCUUACACUAAUUCUUUUCUUGUUUUUGUGGAAUUUCGGUUCAGUGAUCACAUAGCUUUUCUAAAAGCAUUUGAAGGAUAGAAGGAGGCAAAACCUAGUGGGAAUGAGAAGCAGUUUUGUUGGGAUAAUUUUCUAUCCUCAGUAACCUUGCGGUUGAUUGAUGAUAUGAGAUUACAGUUUCUCAAUUUAUUAUCUUACAUUGGAUUUGUUGACAAGUCCAGGGGUCCUAAUGCUUACAACCAAUACAGUCAUGAUUUGGAGAUGGUUUGUGCAAUCCUUUGUGCCGGGCUCUACCCUGAUGUUGUUCAGUGCAAAAGAAGAGGAAAACGGACGGCGUUCUAUACGAAAGAAGUUGGGAAUGUUGACAUCCAUCCAGCUUCUGUCAAUGCCGGGGUUCAUCUCUUCCCUCUGCCUUACAUGGUAUAUAGCGAAAAGGUGAAAACCACCAGCAUCUAUGUUAGAGACUCUACCAACAUUUUAGAUGAUGCCCUGCUUCUGUUUGGCGGUAAUCUUCCCCGGCGAAAAUGGCGAGGGCAUUGAGAUGCUUGGAGGUUACCUUCAUUUCUCUGCUUCAAAGAGUGUCAUUGACUUGAUAUGGAAAUUACAUGGAGAGCUUGACAAGCUUCUGAACAGAAAAAUUGAAGAACUAGGAUUGGACAUUAAUGCAGAAGGAAAAGGAGUGGUUGCUGCUGCUGUUGAGUUGCUUCACAGUCAAACCAUUCGCUGAUUUCUUUUUCAUUCAUAAGGGAUGACCACCAAAAAGAAAAAGAAAAAAUUUCUAACUGGAGCAAUAAACAAGUUUGCUGCACACUCUUUGGAGAGAAAGCAUCAGUUGGAGCAACCCGCCCACUUGUGCAUCUCAGCAUGCACCGAGGAAGGUGCAAUUUUUAAGUGUGGGGAGGUCGAUACCGACUUUCGUGGUCUAUAUAGGGCAGGAAUGGCUUAGAGGAUGGAGAGGAAGCUUGCACAAAUGGAAGGAGCACAAGAAUUGAAGGAGAUAACCAGCAAGGAGCGAUGUGUGCGCGUAUCUGACGCGUGUGCGUGAUUUGGAGAUUUGCAUAGUGACGCGUGCUCGUACCUGACGUGUACAUGUGACUAGUGCAGAAGACAAGUGACGCGUACGGGUGACAAAGAAUUUCGCCAAGCGACGCGUACGCGUGACAUGCGCCACGUGUAGAAAAUGUAGAAAACGCUGGGUGCGAUUUCUAGGCUCCACUUUGGCCCAGUUCCAAGCCUGAAAACACAGAAUACAAAUUGCAAAGUGGGUGAUAAACCACUAUUUCAUGGUUUAUCUUGUGCUAAUUUGAGUGGUUUUUAUCAACUCUUUACUCACUUAUUCAUACUAAUCGCAUGUUUUACAUUCUCCUUCCUGAUUUUGUGCUAUGAUUGAAAAUAUGCUUCUUUGGCCUUAUAUUUGCUAAUAUUAAUCAUCUCUUAUUACCAUUCGAUGCCUUGAUAUGUGUGUUAAGUGUUUUCAGAGAUUACAGGGCAGGAAUGGCUUAGAGGAUGGAAAGGAAGCAUGUAAAAGUGGAAGGAAUACAAGAAACUGAAGGAACUGCUAAAGCUGUCCAAACUGAUCUCUUGGUACUAAAUUGACCAUAACGUGAGCUACAAAGAUCCAAAUGACGCGGUUUUAGUUGCGUUGGAAAGCUAACGUCUGGGGCUUCGCAACGAUAUAUAAUUUGCCAUAGCUUCUCUGAAGCCAUAUGACACAAACGCGUGGAUCACGCGGAUGCGUGACCUGGCAAAAAACCCAAUCCACGCUAACGCGUGGACGACGCUUCCGCGCAACUUUGCAGCGACCUGUACGUACCAGAAAUCGCUGGGGGCGAUUUCUGGGCUAUUUUUGACCCAUUUUUCGGCUCAGAAAAUACAAAUUAGAGGCUAUAAAGUAGAGGAAUGCAUCCAUUCAACAAUCGAUACAACAUUCAUAAUUCACAAUUUUAGGUUUAGAUGUAAUUUUUAGAGAGAGAGGUUCUCUCUCCGCUCUCUUAGGAUUUAGGUUUAGGAUUCCUCUUAAAGGAAUUAGGAUUUCUUCUUCUCAAUU
Arachis stenosperma is the source of this 3022-nucleotide long non-coding RNA. RefSeq lists it as uncharacterized. The record is from RefSeq and is a predicted model, not a curated record. Lineage: Eukaryota; Viridiplantae; Streptophyta; Magnoliopsida; Fabales; Fabaceae. The transcript is spliced from 5 exons.